Molecule: long non-coding RNA, 3518 nt
Filed under: Salmo salar (Atlantic salmon)
Lineage: Eukaryota; Metazoa; Chordata; Actinopteri; Salmoniformes; Salmonidae
Description: lncRNA (ENSSSAG00000034935.2, ENSSSAG00020064954.1)
Source: RNAcentral
CUAAAAUGACUGAAAUGACUGAAUCAGCAUGGAAGUAAAACUGUCGUUUCCCGAGACAUCCCAGGAACUGUUUUUCAAACUGAAACCACACCUUUGGUAAUCAUCAAUUUAAGACCAGGUGUGUCUGGCUUGCACUUUUAAUCAGUUUGUUGUGAGGCAAGUCAAGUUGAUCUAUUGUUCUGGUGGUGAGCAGGUCAUUUCUUACAUUUGUGUGCUCUGUAUUGCAGUUAUUUUCUUAUUCAGGGUAAUUACAGUUAAUUGGUGGUGUCACCAUUUGUAAGAUGCACUUAUUUUUCAAUGGAAUUAUUUAAUGACCUGAAUUCACUUAAUCACCUUGUUGGUACUGAUGGGCAAACAAAGCUUCCUGAAGUGUUGAGGCUUUCCAUCCAAUUGUGUUAUACUGUAGGUUCAUUACUCAAGGCUUUGAUCAACAAAGUGUACACUAGUGGCACAUUUAUAGUUGUCCCACCCCAUAGGGAAGUGUAGCCUUUUUGUCUUCUACCAAAACCAAUACAGAACCAAUCGGGUUGUUUGAUGACACAAAGCUUCAGACGUCAUUGAUCAUGUGCUUCUGAUUGUGAUACAGGCAUCAGCACACUGCUUUGAGGUAUGGCAGCAACACAAUUUGAAAAUGGACCACAUGUGGCAGCAAGGCACAUUGGGCCACACCAGCCAGUUCCUCAGCCCAACCCUGGCACAUGGCACCCAGUGUGUGGACCUGAAGGAUCAGGGCCCCAUCUGACCGAUCAUCAGCCCCAUCCUCAUGUGCACCAGUCUCGACCCUACUUCUAUGUGCAGCCCCCUCCUCCUCUCCCCUUUUACCACUACCAGUGGCCCAUGCCCUACAACCCCUGCUCUGGAUUUCCAGGGAUGGCUAAGUUUAAAUAUGUUUUUCUUACCCAGUAGUAUAAAUGCUGUGUAAUGUCCAGUCUGGCGGUAUGAAGUAAUAUUCAUGAUCAGUAGACCACAUUUUAGUUCUGAUCUACUACAUGUUAUUGUACAGCUCAAAAUGUAUACCUCCAUAAUUUGAAGAACCCCAUGCUUUCAGCUGUCAUUUAAAAAAAAAAGUAUUUAAUAUGUUAUUCAAUACAAUUCAAAGAUUCAAUGACACUCAUUCCUUCCAAUUUUGUAUUUAGGUUACGGUAUGCCGGGAAUGGUUAUGCCACCUUUCCUUCCCCACCCAUACAUGGAGGUUCCAGGUUAUGUUCUUCCUCAUUCCCAGCUGCACCCUGCAGAAUACAGACGAUACCAAUUCCCUCCUGCUGCCAUGGCCUACCAGAACAACAGCAGGAUGUCCAGAAUGUUUUACCACAAUGCCACACCCAUAGAGAUGGUUAACUCUGAAGUACAGACUGAACCACCACCUGAAGCGGUGAAGGACGGUCCCCCCUUGGCUAGACCACUGGCUAGGUCAGACUUUGGAAGAGGCACCAACUCUACCACCCCCUCAUCUCUAAGCUCCAAUGCAGAGAAACAGAGCUGCCCAGAAGAAGAACCUAAUUCGCCCAUUGCCUCCAAAACUGGAUUCCAGGGGAUGGUGAGGAGCCAGGGUACUGGCAAAGACCCACCUGCAGGAACAAAGACCAUUCACUCACGUAGCAUCUCUAUAGAGUGGAUGACACAGAAUGGACUGAUGGCGCCAGAAGAUGUGGCACAAGAGUUGUCUGGAAAAGUGUCAGAUGAUCAUCCUAAUCAAAGCCAGAUGUCCUUUUAUAGUCAGGGACCGAAAAAGUUGAAUGAGUCCGUAUGGUCAGUGCAGUCUUUGGCCCCGUAUGUCCCCUCCAAAGAGUUUCUUAUGGAAAACGGCAUUGUGUUGACUGAGAAAGAAGCAGAUCCUCCCAACGUCAGUCAAGACCUCGCAGCCAGUCAGGUCAUAGCUAUAACAGAGAGGAGGAGAAGUCUGAGGUUUUCGCUGACUUUAGAAAAUGUGAAAGAGGCUGAGAAAAUGGCUGAUGUGAAUACUUCUUCAUGCCAAGAGUCCUUCCAUUAUAGCCAAAUACAGCAAAAGGCUAAUGUGUCUGAUUGGUCAGUGCAGUCUUUGGCGCCGUAUGUCCCCUCCACAGAGUGGCUGAUACAGAAUGGGCUUUUGGAUCAUGAAGUGUCGACUGCGAAAGUAUCAGAUGCGAAUGUCAGUCGAGGCCACACAGCUAGUCAGCUGUUGGCUAUAACCGAGAUAAGUCAAAGGUUGUCCCUGUCAUCGAUAGACACACUUCCCCCUUAUGUUCCCUCUUCCUGUUUGCUGGCCGACAUGGAAAAAAUGUACUACAGAAAGCUCCAACUAGGCACUGCAGAGCAUAAGCAAGUUUUCAGCACACCAAUGGAUAAAUUCAUUCCAUCAAAGAGGCUGAACUCUGAAGCUCUUCCCAGGAGGAAAAGGCAGCUCAAACUUAGCCACAACCUACACAUGGAGCUUGUGGAAAAAGCCAAUGUGUAUGGUUCUCCUACAAACCAAAGUGCAAUGAUCCCAAGUGUUGAAGGACCAUUGAAUAGCACUCAAGGGUCAGUGAAACCCAAGGCUCAACAUAGCCCAAAAAAGAAGGCUCUGGAAGUUACAGAGCCCAGGGUUCUGAGCCCUCCCUGCUCUCCAGAUGACCCUGAAACAUAUUCCUCCAAAUGCCUAGCAGGAGACAAAGUGCCUGGCUGCAGUUGUACAGGUCGCUGCAACCAGGAAAUGGAGGCGGCGGUGAUGGAACCUGCCAAACAGACUGGGCCUAUUGUACCCAGUCGACAGGACUGCGAGCAGAUUGCAGAUGUUAGGAUGCCAACGGCUCCCUCAUCAAACGGACACUUUAAGACGUGUGGUCUGAUGUGUUCAAAGCUACAGGAGAGGAACUGCUCCUGUGAGGCACCGAAGCCAAACGGAGUGAGUUUCAGGAAGCGCCCCACAGGCAGACUGAAUAAGAGAAAUGUGGCCAAGAUGGCCGCCGAUCUCACCAAGCCUCAGGCGCAGCAGCAUCUCAUUCCACAGAAUCAGAAAAGACAGAUGGAUUCCAGGAGAGCAAACAAGACCAUGCCUGAUCAUGUAACUUGUGAUAAUGGAUAUGGGCUGAACAACUCAAAGAAACGGGGACGAUGGCAAAAUAGACCACAGGAGCACAGACUAACCCAUCAAACAAGCCUUUUGGACAGCAGAACGCCCAGAGGAAUUGUGACGACGAACCCUGGACUGGGUAUUAUGGCAGAUCUGGUAAAACAAGAGGAGCAAAUGGAAGAAACCCAAGGUACUGACUGACCAGAGACUGUCAACAAAUGACAAUGAAGACAUUUUUAAUAACCCUAUUUAUAGGCCUACAUAAUAAACGUUUUUAUUUUUCAAAUGAACUCCUUGUAUUUUGAAGUGGUGGAGGAAUGUGAAAUUAAAAGUAGAACACGUUAAUGAAAUGGGGCUUAUGGUCAGUAAGGGAAUUUGGAAUUGUCAUGACUGCUCAACUCUAAAGAAUUCACAAAAGCAAGAUUUAUUCACUAUCGAUUGCAAAAGGCACAGCAGAUUCAUUGUCAAGGAGUCCCAAGUGAAGGAU